This 997-nucleotide long non-coding RNA is filed under the name Homo sapiens (human). RNAcentral describes it as "HSALNT0258697". Lineage: Eukaryota; Metazoa; Chordata; Mammalia; Primates; Hominidae. The record is from RNAcentral.
CGUCCCGGAGCCUGGGAGUCGCCGUCAGGCCUGAGGCUACAGCGGGGCGGACCCAGUGCGCCGCCCACAGCCGAUCGACAUUUCCCAGAAUCAUCCGCGCAGGGGACAAAAUUCCAGGCGCAACGAACCGCAGGUACCGGAAGACCACACUUCCCAGGAGUCUCUGCGGCCGCGCGGACCUGGGGCGCCGCGGGCAAACAGAUCUCGGUUUCCUAAAAAACUAAACCGCCUGGGGCUGUCGUCCCAGAGCCCGGCAGUUAGGACCAUGCGGGAAGUGUCCUGGGGCAUAUAGUCAUACUGAUGAGGUGAAAGAUACACCUCGGAACCAAGGGCCACCCUCUACUUUUAAGGACAAUGGCGCCGGGACCAAGAAACUACACUUCCCAGAAAACCGUGCGGCCGUGGCAAACUCUUCUGGGUCUAGCGUGCGCUCACACUAAUGUUUAUCUCCCGGGACGUGGGCAGACCUUGUACCAGGCGAGCUCUCGCCUUUGCUAGCAAAAGAGCUCCUCUCUUCCCAAACCCUGCUACUACGCUGUCCACCCUGUAUGGUCUUUGAGGUCUUUGAGGUUUUUUUGGAAUUCACUUGCUGGAGACUACAGCUCACAGAACGCCCUGGGCUGGAUUGUGCCAGCUGUAGUUCGCGAACCAAGGACAUUUCCUGGAAAUGCAUGCGGCCACGUAUCUGUGACAGAAAUGGCAGUUCUCACGUGCGUUACGCCCCCUGGAAGGACUUGGAAAUACGGAACUUGAGUGAGCACUGAGAGGACACAGACCCUCAUCCUGGGAGGAGUCACUCCUCCCGCAGCCAUCAGAGCCUGACAACCGCUUCUCACCAGAGGCGCUUCUUAGACCCUGACCUUGCCCGGCUCACCCAAAGGGGCAAUGGCCUUCUUUGUAUGCAAGCCAGACAGUCUACUGUUGUAUAUUUGAAUUUUUUACUUUAUUUUUAAUAUUUUAAUUAAAUUUUAAUUUAAUGCUGCCUCUACCUCUGAGA